UCCACUAACAAAAUAACAACUAAAGACAAAGUCAACUUUGAAUCAUUCUUCAACAAGCCCUCUUCAAACUUUUCUCCCAUCGCAGACUCUUCACUUAUGGGCUUCUUCUCUCUCAACUUAGAGACAAAUGAGUAGAACCCAUUGCUCAAGGGGGAAGAGCAGCUCACCUUAGUUCUUUAGGACAUGAUUUCUCUGUUGGAGGAUAUGAAGUUAGAUGCCUCGUCAGAGGCGGCGACAGUGGAGCUUGUAGUGAAAGGGGUUAUCGGGAAGAUGGUUGAUGAGAUAGAGUAUGGGCUCAUGAUGGCGAUGGAUUACAUGUUAUUCAUUUUGGACAUUAUGGUAGAAGCAAAUUUAAAUAGUUUGAGAGGAAUUCAAAUGAAGAUAUGAAAGUUAGACUUUCAUCAAAAUUGGUCUACUUUUGAAGCCUAAUUCACGACCGUAUUUAUUCCACUACAUUGCAAGUUCUGUGCAUGUUGCAUAUGGACAUGAUAAGUAUGUGUUGUGUAUGCGAUGUUAUUUAUGGAGAUGAAUGAAAGUGUAACAUGUUAUUUUAGAAGUGUAGCCAGAAAUUUUUAAAGUACAGUAGAUUAUUUUCAUUGACAAUAAGCUUUAGCGGUCUUGAUUGUAUUUUGUGUAUACAAUAAAUUUGUA
Asparagus officinalis (garden asparagus) is the source of this 651-nucleotide long non-coding RNA. RefSeq lists it as uncharacterized. The transcript is spliced from 3 exons. The record is from RefSeq and is a predicted model, not a curated record. NCBI's taxonomy places the organism in Eukaryota, Viridiplantae, Streptophyta, Magnoliopsida, Asparagales, Asparagaceae.